Molecule: transfer RNA, 74 nt
Filed under: Loxodonta africana (African savanna elephant)
Lineage: Eukaryota; Metazoa; Chordata; Mammalia; Proboscidea; Elephantidae
Rfam family: tRNA
About the family: Transfer RNA (tRNA) molecules are approximately 80 nucleotides in length. Their secondary structure includes four short double-helical elements and three loops (D, anti-codon, and T loops). Further hydrogen bonds mediate the characteristic L-shaped molecular structure. tRNAs have two regions of fundamental functional importance: the anti-codon, which is responsible for specific mRNA codon recognition, and the 3' end, to which the tRNAs corresponding amino acid is attached (by aminoacyl-tRNA synthetases). tRNAs cope with the degeneracy of the genetic code in two manners: having more than one tRNA (with a specific anti-codon) for a particular amino acid; and 'wobble' base-pairing, i.e. permitting non-standard base-pairing at the 3rd anti-codon position.
Source: Rfam by way of RNAcentral
UCCUUAGUGGUGCAAAAGGCUAACACCCUUGGCUGCUAACCAAAAGUUUGGUGGUUUGAAUCCACCCAGAGGCC